ACUAUAAUUGCUAAGUCAUAUGGUAACUAUGCUUAGCUUUUCAAGGAACUGCCAAACUGUUUUCCAAAGCAGCUGUACCAUUUACAUUCCCACUAACAAU
This 100-nucleotide microRNA precursor is filed under the name Marmota monax (woodchuck). Lineage: Eukaryota; Metazoa; Chordata; Mammalia; Rodentia; Sciuridae. The record is from RNAcentral.